Long non-coding RNA from Astatotilapia calliptera (eastern happy), 2275 nucleotides. The record is from Ensembl. NCBI's taxonomy places the organism in Eukaryota, Metazoa, Chordata, Actinopteri, Cichliformes, Cichlidae.
AGUUUGUUGUCAUGUUUGCCUUUUGCUGCCAGCAGGUUCAAAUCAGCCUUUUUUAAUAUUUUCUCAGUUUAAACAUUUGAUGUUUUUUCUCAGUCGUCUUGAGAUUUUGUUUCAUUUCUGAGAUCAUCACAUUCUUUCAGUGCCAUGAUCCACAGACAGGACAGACUCAAAGACAUCAAACUCAUGUUUGGAUCUGUGUUCGUUCAUUAUCUGAUGCUCGUCAGCUGCAGAAAUCCUCUCAGGAAAAGAGUUUCAGCUCUUCUUCAGGGUCACAGUGAUGCGUUCAGGAACACCUGUGAAACACAGCAAACUGAGUUCUGCUUCUCUCAGUGGGACGCUCGAGUGUUUGGGUCCCUCUGUGGUUCACUUUGCUGGCCUCUAGUGGGCACGAGGUGAACUCAUCAUGUUGGUGUCAGCUGUAUUUGACAGCAGCCACCAGUCUGCAGUUCUGUAUUUGAACCUUUGAAUCUCCACAAGUGCAGAUAUGAAACACAGCUGGGAAUGAUUCCUUUUGUGUAUGUGGACGUAGUCUGUGGGUGGCAGUAAUGGGGGUGCCCCACCUUUUCCCCUAUGACAGCCUCCCCCACUUAACCCUGAGCUGGACAAAGAGAAAACGACGUCUUGUAUUUGGCAGCUGUUACAUCAGACACUGUGACACAAACACCUGAUGACUGAACAGGUUUCCUGACAAACUCAUUUUUAUUUUGCUCUGAGACAUUUUCACUCACACAGCCAAGGGCGCAGAUUUGGCACGGACGGAAGGGACGUGUCCCCACCAAUAAUUUGAUCUCUCCGAGUAAAGAAAAACAACCCGAUAGAAAGAAAGAAAACGAUCUCCCAGCGGUGCAGAAAGAGUUAAAUUACGUUCUCUACUGGAGUGCUACGUCAUGUGACAAAUAUGGCCAAUGUGAUUGGCUGAGCCUUUCAGGGAGCUCUGUUUAGUUUUAGCAGCGGCAAGCCUGCGCUGUGAGGAGGAGAGGAGGAUGGCAGCAAAGAGGAAGAACCUGGAUAUAAGAAAGUAUUUUUGAAAGAAACCUGAGAAGGGUCUGGCUGCAGCCACUGUGGAGCUCCACACUAACCGGAUACACGUGACCUCCACACUAACCGGAAACACGUGACCUCCACAGUAGCCGUAAACACGCAUGGAUACCGUGGAAGUCUUGCAAAUUGAUCGCAAAGAGAAACACACAGAUCAAUAUCUCAUUGUCGGCACUGGGUCAAGCUGUCAUAGCCCCACAGGUGUGCAAUAAACCCAGAGAAAUCACUGAAACGGUGUUGAACCCAGCACCUUCAAUGUCUGGUGACACUGGACCUCAGGAAAGAGUUGACAACAAGAAAGCCAAUAGAAGGUCUCAACAGAUGCAACUUUUCCUGACCUGUGUGGACCACCGUGCGAACUCUGACAAAGCCUGAGAACAUUUUGGCCAGCCGUUCAUUGUGGUGUUUUGUACCGCACCCUGGCCAACAACAGCUUCUCAACUAUGUUCUGGACAUCAGCAGACCCAAAGAUGAGCUGAUUGUUGAAACGUCUUCUGGAUGCCUCAUGCGGGCAGAUUUUUGGACACUGGGUUUAAACAAACAAAUGGAAUCGACUAUUGGAAAUGGCUGUUUUGAGCUUAUCACUAAAAUUGUCCAGUCAAAGGGGAUAAGCAUUUACAUAGAAAAUCUGUAUGUCACCCGGACUUGGCUUGCACCCUAUGGCUGUGAUCCAUUGCAGUCCUUUCCUACUGAUGCUCAGAGGAUGCACAUCAUAGUUCUCCCUCUCUGGACCCCUGGUCAUUUCCAGUUGUGUGAAUCUUGCAGUGAAGAUCAUUCCCGGGCAGUGGUCAGAAAAAAAGAGCUGUGACUUGAAGGGUUUUCCAAGCCAAGACUAUGGAGUUGACUGUGGGAUCUUCAUGCUGAUGUCUGCUCUGUACGUGGCACUGGAUGCACCAUAUUGACUAUACUGUAUCAGACAUGCCCUACUUGCGUAAAUGGUGGUGCUUGCUGUUGAUGGAGAACUUUGAUCUCAGGAGCUCUGGCAAGCUAUUUGCACACUGGAGAGAGGAAGCCAAAGCUGUGCUUGCAGGACAACAUGUGCCCAUUGUCAGACUGAAAAAGUUCCAGGAAGUCAGUCAGGAGCCAGCAGUUGUUGAAGAUCUGCGUCCUGCUGUGCAGUGGGUUGUCCAAAAUAAGGCACUUUUCCGUGGACACGUAACAAUGCCCAAAUAUCUGUCCUUAAAUCAAGGGGACCAGCAGAGGGUCUUAAGAGACAUGUCAGAGGAAGAAGACACUG